AAAAGAAGAGUGGCGAACGGGUGAGUAACACGUGGGUAACCUGCCCAUCAGAAGGGGAUAACACUUGGAAACAGGUGCUAAUACCGUAUAACAAUCGAAACCGCAUGGUUUUGAUUUGAAAGGCGCUUUCUGGUGUCGCUGAUGGAUGGACCCGCGGUGCAUUAGCUAGUUGGUGAGGUAACGGCUCACCAAGGCCACGAUGCAUAGCCGACCUGAGAGGGUGAUCGGCCACAUUGGGACUGAGACACGGCCCAAACUCCUACGGGAGGCAGCAGUAGGGAAUCUUCGGCAAUGGACGAAAGUCUGACCGAGCAACGCCGCGUGAGUGAAGAAGGUUUUCGGAUCGUAAAACUCUGUUGUUAGAGAAGAACAAGGAUGAGAGUAACUGUUCAUCCCUUGACGGUAUCUAACCAGAAAGCCACGGCUAACUACGUGCCAGCAGCCGCGGUAAUACGUAGGUGGCAAGCGUUGUCCGGAUUUAUUGGGCGUAAAGCGAGCGCAGGCGGUUUCUUAAGUCUGAUGUGAAAGCCCCCGGCUCAACCGGGGAGGGUCAUUGGAAACUGGGAGACUUGAGUGCAGAAGAGGAGAGUGGAAUUCCAUGUGUAGCGGUGAAAUGCGUAGAUAUAUGGAGGAACACCAGUGGCGAAGGCGGCUCUCUGGUCUGUAACUGACGCUGAGGCUCGAAAGCGUGGGGAGCAAACAGGAUUAGAUACCCUGGUAGUCCACGCCGUAAACGAUAAGUGCUAAGUGUUGGAGGGUUUCCGCCCUUCAGUGCUGCAGCU
Molecule: ribosomal RNA, 782 nt
Filed under: Enterococcus durans
Lineage: Bacteria; Bacillati; Bacillota; Bacilli; Lactobacillales; Enterococcaceae
Description: bacterial SSU rRNA
Rfam family: Bacterial small subunit ribosomal RNA
Source: RNAcentral